CACGUAGGCUGUUAUGUAAGUCAGGGGUGAAAUCCCACGGCUCAACCGUGGAAUUGCCCUUGAUACUGCAUGACUGGAAUCCGGGAGAGGGUAGUGGAAUUCCAUGUGUAGGAGUGAAAUCCGUAGAUAUCUGGAGGAACAUCAGUGGCGAAGGCGACUACCUGGACCGGUAUUGACGCUGAGGUGCGAAAGCGUGGGAGCAAACA
This 206-nucleotide ribosomal RNA is filed under the name uncultured bacterium. Its description in RNAcentral is "partial 16S ribosomal RNA". It matches the Rfam family "Bacterial small subunit ribosomal RNA", at positions 568 to 774 of the family's 1533-position model. The record is from RNAcentral.